Molecule: microRNA precursor, 58 nt
Organism: Oreochromis aureus
Lineage: Eukaryota; Metazoa; Chordata; Actinopteri; Cichliformes; Cichlidae
Source: Ensembl
GCCGUCAUCUUUGCCCGGUUGGUAGCUGUUGUUUCCACCUCGGGCAAAGAUGACGCUC